UGGAUAGCCUGCUCUUUUGGGACAAAAUCCAAAUGCUGGUUCCAACAAAGGACCCUGGCCUGCUGGGAACAUCAAAAGAUUCCCCCAGACGCCUGACAGGUACACACAGAAGUUCUAGCCCAGACGACAGUCAGGGUGACACAAAGUCUUUCUGCUUUCAAGGACCAGAACAUCAAAUAUUCAGAAGUAACUACUGUCCAACAUCUAAUUAGAGAGGGACUGAUAUCUCAGCGUCACGCACAAAUGCAGACUCCUCAGCCACAGGAGACCUUCACGUGAAAUACAACAGCUUGACUCACCUUCUUGACUUCUGUUACAGAAUAUCUCACUGCACAGCCUAAGUGUUUGUUUGGGAACAGUGCAUUCAAACCUGGUGGAACCACGGCAGCAAAUCUUACCAAAUAAUCAUUAUACAAAUCAGAAGCAACAGGUCAGUGCCAUGAGAACAGACUAAUACAGCCUCUUACAUAAACCUGGCCCUCAACCAAUGAUAGGUUUAUAGAUAUGCUGCUAGGACUGGGUUAAUAGAAGCACGUGACUGGAUAUCUGAAACUGUAAAUCGAGGAACGGACCCUGCUGAUGAAAUGGAGCUAUAGAAUCUUUUUAACAAGUACUACAGUCUGCUGGGUUUUUCAGCAUUGACCACGAAGAUGAUGUUGAUUUCCUGGCCAGGUUUUCUCAGCUGGUCACAGGAGAGAGACAGUCACUGAUAGUUAGCUGGACUACGUGAAUUCAGAAUGGGGAUAUCAAGAAUGCUCAAGAGGCACUAGAAGCUGCUGAAACAAGGAUGGCACUGACGCUGCGGUGACUAGCUCCUGAUGACGGGACCUCCUCUAAGAUACUGGCUUUUGCUGUGAUUAUGUUCAGAUUUUGAAACAUCUUAGAUCAGCAGAAAGCCGGUGCAGCGGCAAUCAUGUCAGUUGCCACAAAGGAACUUAUGAUGAAGACCCUAUCUUUGAAAACGAGAGUAACGAUGAAGCCAUGUUUGUCAACUAUAAAAAACAACAGAAGUUACUGUUGGACCGGCUAGCUCAAGCUUCACCAAGGUACUGCUGACUCCUGCGCAGUUUAUAUUUCGACACCACAGCACUGGUAGGCUACACGGUUUACAGAAGCUGCAGGAGCAGCAGGCUUGCUAUAGAAAUUGACAGAAGCUCUUCCAGGAUCUCAUGGUGCCCCCUUCUCAGGUGCUGGUUCAAUGGCUAGUGCUCUGCAAAUAUGACACAGCCGUUGGUAAUGUCAGGAGUUAGCUCUUAUGUGUGACAUGAGUUUUUCGGAACUUGUCAGACAGGAAAGUUCUUUACUGCUGAAUCUCAACACAUUCCGUGGGUAUUAAUGGCUUUCUUAGAUCACAGGGGGUCUGCAACACUGUAGCGCAAAAGCGUGCAGCGGAACUGCUUGGCAGUUCUUUAGAUUUGUCAGAUCUCUCAAGAAACAAUGAAUCCUUUCACUGAGGAUAUUCUCAAUAGAAUAGAAGACUUAUCAGGGCUUUCUCCACUGAGAAUGGUUAGCAGUCCUUACUGAAGAACAAUAAUCAACUAUUUGUUUACAAGACAGCCGGAAUACCAAUUAUUGACAGUAAACACCCAUCAAAAAGGAAGCAAGCAUUAAUUGAGGAAUCUGUAGACUCCACUGAUGGAAAAGUUUAAACUUCUGUUAGGAACACUGAUGCUGACCGCAGGGGAAGAAAGGCAGGCAUCUAUAACAGACUGCUUCAACCAUGGUGCUGGACUUGCCAGAGCAGCGAGCAGACUGGGGAAUGGCGUGGCUGUUCAGAGGCUCUGAACUGUUUACAGAUAUUCUCAUCAGCCCUCAGCUGUGCCUUACAGAAGGAUAUGCUCAGAAGCAGAGGUCCCAUGUUCUUCCUCAUUGCAUGAUUACUUGCCUGGAGGAAGAAGUCCUUCUGUUCCUCUUGUCUGCUCAGACAUGUGCUCAAAGACUAUGAAGGAAGAGACCCCCAGGAACUCAUUCCUUUUAUCAAGCAGAUUACAGCCAAGCCUAAGACACAGGUAUCCCCAUUUUACGACAGAUGUUCAUGCCUCUGCUCAUGCAGUUGUUGAAGAAUUGCUCUGACCAGCAGAAGAAAACAACCAGUCUGCUGCUGAGAAAGGCAGAUGCUGCCGAGGAGUUACUUUGCCUCCCUUCUGUCAGUCACAGGCAGUGGAAUGAGUGAAGGUACAGAGAACAGAGAAUGAGUGCUGGUUACUGUCUCACAGGAGCAGCUGAAUAUCCAGAUCCAAGUGCACAGAAACGGGUUUUGUCCUUCAAAGUUGAGAACCUCAGGGAGGUUUGGAGGGACUGUGGGAUUUCUUGCUCCUGUUUAUAAGUGCAUUGCCCCCAUGUGGUUCCCAGAACCUUGAAAACAAAUCUCUGUCCUGGCAGAUGCACAAACAGUACUGCCUUAUGUGGUUACACAGUGACACUGAGAACAGUGCAUCUCCGAUGCAGCCCAGGAUGCACUGAGCAUCUUCACCAAGGAAACCUGCCCUCCUCGCACGCCGCCCCAGGAAUGAUUUAGGACUUUUGUCAAGUGCUUCAGCAGCCUGAGGCUAAAGUUUUAUGAGAAUUCUUUAAAGGUACUCUUCCAGGGCGGGAACCCUAAGGACUGCAUCUCCCUGGGUCUACUUCACAAUGAGAAUUCCAGUUAAUAAUUUAGGGGGGAAAAAAGCAAUUUUUGUGUGCCAUUCACACUAGUAUUUUUAACACUGCUUUGGGCUUACUGCAGUACACUUACUGAGGAUUUUCUG
RNAcentral lists this long non-coding RNA (2747 nucleotides) under Homo sapiens (human). RNAcentral's name for it is "non-protein coding lnc-MBP-6:1". Lineage: Eukaryota; Metazoa; Chordata; Mammalia; Primates; Hominidae. The record is from RNAcentral.